CGUUGACCUCGGAUCAGGUAGGAAUACCCGCUGAACUUAAGCAUAUCAAUAAGCGGAGGAAAAGAAACCAACAGGGAUUGCCUCAGUAACGGCGAGUGAAGCGGCAACAGCUCAAAUUUGAAAUCUGGCCCUAGGCCCGAGUUGUAAUUUGCAGAGGAUGCUUUUGGCGCGGUGCCUUCCGAGUUCCCUGGAACGGGACGCCAUAGAGGGUGAGAGCCCCGUCUGGUCGGACACCAAGCCUCUGUAAAGCUCCUUCGACGAGUCGAGUAGUUUGGGAAUGCUGCUCAAAAUGGGAGGUAUAUGUCUUCUAAAGCUAAAUACCGGCCAGAGACCGAUAGCGCACAAGUAGAGUGAUCGAAAGAUGAAAAGCACUUUGGAAAGAGAGUUAAACAGCACGUGAAAUUGUUAAAAGGGAAGCGUUUAUGACCAGACUUGGGCCGGUUAAUCAUCCAGCGUUCUCGCUGGUGCACUUUGCCGGUCCAGGCCAGCAUCAGUUCGCUGCGGGGGAUAAAGGCGUCGGGAAUGUGGCUCCUCGGAGUGUUAUAGCCCUUCGCGUAAUACCCUGCGGUGGACUGAGGUUCGCGCUCUGCAAGGAUGCUGGCGUAAUGGUCAUCAACGACCCGUCUUGAAACACGGACCAAGGAGUCGUCUUCGUAUGCGAGUGUUCGGGUGUAAAACCCCUACGCGUAAUGAAAGUGAACGCAGGUGAGAGCUUCGGCGCAUCAUCGACCGAUCCUGAUGUUCUCGGAUGGAUUUGAGUAAGAGCAUACGGGGCCGGACCCGAAAGAAGGUGAACUAUGCCUGUAUAGGGUGAAGCCAGAGGAAACUCUGGUGGAGGCUCGCAGCGGUUCUGACGUGCAAAUCGAUCGUCAAAUAU
RNAcentral lists this ribosomal RNA (877 nucleotides) under Stachybotrys zeae. RNAcentral's name for it is "eukaryotic LSU rRNA". It matches the Rfam family "Eukaryotic large subunit ribosomal RNA", at positions 1 to 912 of the family's 3401-position model. Lineage: Eukaryota; Fungi; Ascomycota; Sordariomycetes; Hypocreales; Stachybotryaceae. The record is from RNAcentral.